UACGUAGGGAGCAAGCGUUGUCCGGAUUUACUGGGUGUAAAGGGCGUGUAGGCGGUGACGCAAGUCAGGAGUGAAAUCCCCGGGCUCAACCCGGGAACUGCCUUUGAAACUGCGUCCCUUGAGUAUCGGAGAGGCAGGCGGAAUUCCUAGUGUAGCGGUGAAAUGCGUAGAUAUUAGGAGGAACACCAGUGGCGAAGGCGGCCUGCUGGACGACAACUGACGCUGAGGCGCGAAAGCGUGGGGAGCAAACAGG
Molecule: ribosomal RNA, 253 nt
Filed under: uncultured bacterium
Lineage: Bacteria
Description: partial 16S ribosomal RNA
Rfam family: Bacterial small subunit ribosomal RNA
Source: RNAcentral